RNAcentral lists this non-coding RNA (30 nucleotides) under Mus musculus (house mouse). Lineage: Eukaryota; Metazoa; Chordata; Mammalia; Rodentia; Muridae. The record is from RNAcentral.
UAUAAAGGCAUCGGCUAUUUCCUACCUACC